AGAGAUACCUCUGGAGAAGCG
RNAcentral lists this microRNA (21 nucleotides) under Drosophila melanogaster (fruit fly). RNAcentral's name for it is "dme-miR-967-5p". Its record names the gene dme-miR-967-5p. The record is from miRBase by way of RNAcentral. Lineage: Eukaryota; Metazoa; Arthropoda; Insecta; Diptera; Drosophilidae.